Molecule: ribosomal RNA, 322 nt
Filed under: uncultured eukaryote
Lineage: Eukaryota
Description: partial 18S ribosomal RNA
Rfam family: Eukaryotic small subunit ribosomal RNA
Source: RNAcentral
CCCUUAGAUGUUCUGGGCCGCACGCGCGCUACACUGAUGCGUUCAACAAGUUUCCUUGGCCGAGAGGCCUGGGCAAUCUUCUUAAUAUGUAUCGUGAUAGGGAUAGAUUAUUGCAAUUAUUAAUCUUGAACGAGGAAUUCCUAGUAAACGCAGAUCGUCAAUCUGCAUUGAUUACGUCCCUGCCCUUUGUACACACCGCCCGUCGCACCUACCGAUUGGAUGUUCCGGUGAAGCCUCGGGAUGAGGACUGGUGCCUUUAUUGGCAUGAGUUGUUCAGAACUUGUCUAAACCUUAUCAUCUAGAGGAAGGUGAAGUCGUAACA